AACGAACGCUGGCGGCAUGCCUAACACAUGCAAGUCGAACGAGACCUUCGGGUCUAGUGGCGCACGGGUGCGUAACGCGUGGGAACCUGCCCUUAGGUUCGGAAUAACUCCCCGAAAGGGGUGCUAAUACCGGAUAAUGUCUUCGGACCAAAGAUUUAUCGCCUUUGGAUGGGCCCGCGUUGGAUUAGCUAGUUGGUAGGGUAAAAGCCUACCAAGGCGACGAUCCAUAGCUGGUCUGAGAGGAUGAUCAGCCACACUGGGACUGAGACACGGCCCAGACUCCUACGGGGGGCAGCAGUGGGGAAUAUUGGACAAUGGGCGAAAGCCUGAUCCAGCAAUGCCGCGUGAGUGAUGAAGGCCUUAGGGUUGUAAAGCACUUUUACCCGGGAUGAUAAUGACAGUACCGGGAGAAUAAGCUCCGGCUAACUCCGUG
RNAcentral lists this ribosomal RNA (433 nucleotides) under uncultured bacterium. Its description in RNAcentral is "partial 16S ribosomal RNA". It matches the Rfam family "Bacterial small subunit ribosomal RNA", at positions 29 to 507 of the family's 1533-position model. The record is from RNAcentral.